This 460-nucleotide ribosomal RNA is filed under the name uncultured bacterium. RNAcentral's name for it is "partial 16S ribosomal RNA". It matches the Rfam family "Bacterial small subunit ribosomal RNA", at positions 338 to 795 of the family's 1533-position model. The record is from RNAcentral.
CCUACGGGAGGCAGCAGUGAGGAAUAUUGGUCAAUGGGCUUACGCCUGAACCAGCCAAGUCGCGUGAGGGAAGACUGCCCUAUGAGUUGUAAACCUCUUUUGUCAGGGAGCAACGCCGGCUACGUGUAGCCGGACUGUGAGUACCUGAAGAAAAAGCAUCGGCUAACUCCGUGCCAGCAGCCGCGGUAAUACGGAGGAUGCGCGCGUUAUCCGGAUUUAUUGGGUUUAAAGGGUGCGUAGGCGGAAUGCCAAGUCAGAGGUAAAAGCGCGGGGCUCAACCUCGCUCCGCCGUUGAAACUGGCGUUCUUGAGUGGGCGAGAAGUAUGCGGAAUGCGUGGUGUAGCGGUGAAAUGCAUAGAUAUCACGCAGAACUCCGAUUGCGAAGGCAGCAUACCGGCGCCCAACUGACGCUGAAGCACGAAAGCGUGGGUAUCGAACAGGAUUAGAUACCCCUGUAGUC